Dromaius novaehollandiae (emu) is the source of this 1807-nucleotide long non-coding RNA. RefSeq lists it as uncharacterized. Lineage: Eukaryota; Metazoa; Chordata; Aves; Casuariiformes; Dromaiidae. The record is from RefSeq and is a predicted model, not a curated record. The transcript has 2 exons.
AAGCUGCUACUAGGAGAAAGCGAAGGAAUUAGAGCAGGAAAUUAGUGACCGCUGAGCAGCCACACAGCUCUGUCUGCACAGGCCGCAAGGACUCACAGACGUCGCCGCAAUAGCCUGGAUGGCAAAACGAGCGGGCUUCAAGAGCACGCACGCUCAGUGGGAACAGCAGAAUGAACGAAACCUUUGUUUUUCCAACGGCAUCGAUUCUGGCAUAGGACUACUCGUAACAUCGCUGGGCAAACUGGGUCAAGGCAAAGCUUGCAGUGCAUUUAUCCAGGCAGAAGUAGAGGAUGCAGGUAAGCAGGUUAUGACACACAAUGAGACUCAGUGCAAGACGAUAAAGAGCCCACACCUCCAGAAGGCUCGCUUAGGAAGUUUGCAUAACCCAUGCGCAAAUACUGCAGACAGCACUGCACGCACCUGGAAAUGGUGCUCCGGCCCCAGGCAGGCACCCCCUGCACCCUACACCUUGCUCACAGGGGAGUCGAGUCUUCCUCCUACAUCCUAAAAUGCUGUCAGAAUACUUCCUCCUGUUUUAUCUGUCAUAGGAACCAUGGGGAAAGAGGGGUUCUUGUCUCAAAGUAAAACAUCCACCAAGUUGGAUACAGCAGACAUUACCAAAGGGCCUCUGUGCUCCAGGUCAUGGGAGAAACUUACAACUUGAAUAUCUAACAGUCUGAUUGCAUCAUCCUCUCCCAGGUAAAAUUCUCACUGACAUUAGUGGGAAUUUUGUCCAAUGAAGAAUCAAACCUUUAAUCUUUAUGUGAAGGUAGCCACUGGUCUUGACUCCGCAAACCCUUUUGCAUUUCUGCUGUGCUUCCAAGAAGUGCCUGAAUUGAUAGUAUGCAGGUGCAGCAUAAGCAGACCAACUAAAAAACCUGUGUGCACUAGAGAAAUUAGCUGUAAACUUUCUACUGAAGGCAGCUUUCGAAAGUACAAAUGAAGCCCAUCCCUUUUCUAAUGUCACUGCUAUCAGAUCACAGGCUUCUCUCACCUAUCAGAGGAAAAAAGGUUGUAUUAUCUCAUCUCCAUAAACAACUCCGGAUUUCUGAUAAAUAAAAUCACAAUAAUCUACAGCUACAUAUAGAGCUACUCUUUUUAGCCACAUUUCCUUGCCUUACACCAAAUAUCCACUCCUUAAACUGACUGAAAAUCUUCUACUGUGGUUAAACACCUCAUCUACUACUAGAAGACAAGUGCUUUUAACAUUAGUUACGGACCUCCUUAAGACUACAUGCCUCUCUCUCACCUUUCGCAACCCUAGUAAAAACAUCUGAAGGGCCCUAUGCACGGGAGAAACACAAUCGAAGGGGAGAGACACUGCCUGGAGUGGAAUCCACACUGCUCUGAGCCACGUUCCUUUGCACUCAUGUAACAACUUCUGUGCUGAUGAAGGUCCCACAGAGCCCAUCAGGACAGGAUGGCCAAAACGAUGCUGUUCCACACAGGAUUAAAAGGUCUAUGGACCUGCAGCAACCGCGUUCUGCAAUUGUAAUUGGGUUCAGGAGAGCUUUGUCUGCUCUGCCAGCUCCCCUAGCCUGCCCUAGCACUCAGGCCAGCUCUCUCUGGGAAUAGCCUCCGACCCUGCCAGCCUCAGCACCACAGGGCCGUCACCUGUCAGAGUAAAGGACUAUGACAUAAAUGGUAACAUUACAAGUCUUCAUAAAUCAGACAAUCAGCUGCAUAUCUUUAUUUAAUCAUAUUCAGACCUACAGGCCAAACAAAAAUAUAAACUUUUUAUUUAUUAGUAAAUACAUCAGUACAUUCAAAAUGCACAAUAACUAUUUCCAGAAACAGUAAAAAUACU